This 446-nucleotide ribosomal RNA is filed under the name uncultured bacterium. RNAcentral describes it as "partial 16S ribosomal RNA". It matches the Rfam family "Bacterial small subunit ribosomal RNA", at positions 338 to 795 of the family's 1533-position model. The record is from RNAcentral.
CCUACGGGGUGCAGCAGUCGAGAAUCAUUCACAAUGGGGGAAACCCUGAUGGUGCGACGCCGCGUGGGGGAAUGAAGGUCUUCGGAUUGUAAACCCCUGUCAUGUGGGAGCAAAUUAAAAAGAUAGUACCACAAGAGGAAGAGACGGCUAACUCUGUGCCAGCAGCCGCGGUAAUACAGAGGUCUCAAGCGUUGUUCGGAAUCACUGGGCGUAAAGCGUGCGUAGGCUGUUUCGUAAGUCGUGUGUGAAAGGCGCGGGCUCAACCCGCGGACGGCACAUGAUACUGCGAGACUAGAGUAAGGGAGGGGGAACCGGAAUUCUCGGUGUAGCAGUGAAAUGCGUAGAUAUCGAGAGGAACACUCGUGGCGAAGGCGGGUUCCUGGACAUUAACUGACGCUGAGGCACGAAGGCCAGGGGAGCGAAAGGGAUUAGAUACCCGAGUAGUC